AGCCAUUGCUAUCAGGGUUUGACUAAGCCAUGCGAGUCGAGAGGUGUAAGACCUCGGCAUACUGCUCAGUAACACGUGGUUAACCUGCCCUAAGGUGGAGCAUACUCCCGGGAAACUGGGGCUAAUACUCCAUAGUGGAUAUAUCCUGGAAUGGUAUAUCCUCGAAAGAUCCGUCGCCUUAGGAUGGGACUGCGUCCGAUUAGGUUGUUGGCGGGGUAACGGCCCACCAAGCCUUUGAUCGGUACGGGUUGUGGGAGCAAGAUCCCGGAGAUGGAUUCUGAGACAUGAAUCCAGGCCCUACGGGGCGCAGCAGGCGCGCAAACUUUACAAUGCGAGCAAUCGUGAUAAGGAAACCCUGAGUGCCUGUCGAUGCAGGCUGUUCAUAUAUCUAAAUCAUAUGUGAAGAAAGGGCAGGGCAAGACCGGUGCCAGCCGCCGCGGUAAUACCGGCUGCUCGAGUGAUGGCCACUAUUACUGGGUUUAAAGCGUCCGUAGCUUGACUGUUAGGUCUCUUGGGAAAUCUUCACGCUCAACGUGAAGGCGUCUAAGAGAUACCGGCAGUCUUGGAACUGGGAGAGGUAAACCGUACUUCGGGGGUAGGAGUGAAAUCUUGUAAUCCUCGAGGGACGACCUAUGGCGAAGGCAGUUUACCAGAACAGCUUCGACAGUGAGGGACGAAAGCUGGGGGAGCAAACGGGAUUAGAUACCCCGGUAGUCCCAGCCGUAAACAAUGUGCGUUAGGUGUGUCGGUAACCACGUGUUACUGAUGCGCCGAAGAGAAAUCGUGAAACGCACCACCUGGGAAGUACGGUCGCAAGGCUGAAACUUAAAGGAAUUGGCGGGGGAGCACCACAACAGGUGGAGCCUGCGGUUU
This 873-nucleotide ribosomal RNA is filed under the name uncultured Methanomicrobiales archaeon. Its description in RNAcentral is "bacterial SSU rRNA". It matches the Rfam family "Archaeal small subunit ribosomal RNA", at positions 21 to 903 of the family's 1478-position model. Lineage: Archaea; Methanobacteriati; Methanobacteriota; Methanomicrobia; Methanomicrobiales. The record is from RNAcentral.